GAACUUUCUGGAAGUGAACAAAACAUUGACUAAGUAAUGAACACGUACACUCGUCUAAAUAGUCACUACUUCAUGUAACAGCCUUUAAAGUUUCAAUACUGAUAACCAGUAAAUGUAGGACUCAUGGAUUCUGUGACUGAGUGUGGAAAUGAAACAGCCAUAGUCAGCACUCAAUGCUCCAUGCCAAAUGAAGGAAAGAAUGAUGUGUUAAAAAAAUUCAUUUGAAUAUAAAUAUGCUGCCUCUCUUGGGAGUUUAUAUAUCUUCAAGUUAAACAACCAGACUUUGAAACAUCUGGAGAAGUUGGAAAAUGAGGAGUUAAAAAUGCUUCUUCAAUCUGGGAAAGGACGGGCUAAUGUAAAACCCCACUUGGAGUUGGGGCUACUGUACUCUACAUGUGUUGGGCCACACACCUCACUAGGACACAGAGACCAUUAUGAAGGCUUCCACGACACUCUCGGGGAGCCCCUGUGGGCCUACCGGAAACAGUCACAUCCGUAAAGUGACAGAGCCAAGAAGCUAAUGGUGUUGACAGGAACUAUCAACAUUAGACUUGCUAAAUAUGUGCCUCCUCCAGGACUGUUUGUUAGAAGUGUUAAAAGAAAAACUCUUUGUGAUAGAAAAAGCUCAUGACUGGGAAGCAGAGCCCAGAUUAGACCUCGGGUCUCCUAGCAUCUAAUGGCUUUGGGCAGGUCACUUGGUCCACCUGGUCUCAGGAUCCUUCUAAUUUCUAAGAAGGGUCCUGUGGCCUGGACUCCUUUGUGAUCAGACGAACAUGGCCCCCAUCAUUCUUGACCUUGUCCAGUGAGGCUACAGCAACAUCUUCUUUGCUAAUGUAUCUAAAACAAUUACAUGGUGAGUAGAUUUCCUCUCUCUUCUGAGUUUCUCUAUUUCAUGAUCACGUUACUCUUUGUAAAAGCAAUAGGAGAGAAAGCAAGAUGGGGUCUUUAUUGUGCUAAUACUAAAAUUAGGGCAUAGAAUUUUCUAUGCUAACAUUGGUCUCCACGUGUGGGAAAGACACCUCUGUUCCAAAUUAGUUUCUUAAGAUUUAUUUUUCUAAGACAUUCAGAGUCACUCAAUAUCCUUUGGACCAAUUUUCACUUAGGGGAUAAGAGGAGUGGGUGUAGGAAUAAGAAGUGAUCAAAUACAUGCACAACUGACAUCCUUGAGUAAAUACCUUGUUGAGCUGUGCGGAUAAUCUCUCACUGCAUUUUUACCUCCCUUUUGGCCUUUUCUUCAAGGUCCCUCAAAUCACCUCAAUCAUUUAUAAUGGUGUAUCAGCAUAUUCGGGUAAAGAGAUUCUCUUUUUAGUUAACCAGGUUCAAUAACAACUUCUAUAAUCCCAAGGUUGUUUCCAUUAUUGUCAGCCAUACAGAGUUUAUGGAAUCUUCCACUGAAAUAAAGCCACUCUUGAUGUGGGAUUCAGAACCUUAUUACACAACACUAUCAAUACCACACAAUGAUUUAGGGACUGGAAGUAAAGAGGAAAGUUAUUCCAAUUAAAGGUGACGGGGGAAUUUAAGUAGGUAAAAUGCAAUUACCCAAUUAAUUCCUUCUAAUUAGCAUGGCCCACUUUCUCUGGCAGUUUACACUUUUGUAGCUUUUUUUUUCCUUUUUAAUUAGUUUGAACAUGAAUGUCUUCAUAUUUCCAAGUACUUCCUAGUUUGCUAACUUGACAAUAAAAGUUAAAUCACAAUGGAAUGGCGCAAUAUUAGGUAAAAUCUUAGAAAUUUGCUUUUAUGUUAAAGUAGAUUUAAAAAUCAACAGAUUUUCUUGUUUUGAUAAGCUAUUAAUGUUUUGACUAGAUGAUACCUGCACAUAUAUCAAAACUCAAAAGGCAUGCAAUGGUGCUUAUGGUGAAGAGUAAGCUUACCUUCCAGUCCCAUCUCCUCCCCCAAAGCUAUCUCCGUGACCAAUUUCUUUUGGAGAGAUUUUUUUUUUCUGCGCAUAGGUUAUACCUUUUAUGAUCUCUGUAUUUUUAUUGGCAUAUAACUCACAUACCAUAAAAGUUACCAUUUUAAAGUGUACAAUUCAGUUCAUUUUAGUAUACUUACAAGGUGGUCCAACCAGCACCACUAAUUCCAGAACAUUUCAUCACCCCCAGAAGAAACCUGUGCUCAUUAGCAGUCCUCAUUACGCUUUUUA
Molecule: long non-coding RNA, 2143 nt
Organism: Acinonyx jubatus (cheetah)
Lineage: Eukaryota; Metazoa; Chordata; Mammalia; Carnivora; Felidae
Exons: 3
Source: RefSeq, a predicted model, not a curated record